AGUGAACGCUGGCGGUAGGCCUAACACAUGCAAGUCGAACGGCAGCACAGUAAGAGCUUGCUCUUACGGGUGGCGAGUGGCGGACGGGUGAGGAAUACAUCGGAAUCUACUUUUUCGUGGGGGAUAACGUAGGGAAACUUACGCUAAUACCGCAUACGACCUACGGGUGAAAGCAGGGGAUCUUCGGACCUUGCGCGAUUGAAUGAGCCGAUGUCGGAUUAGCUAGUUGGCGGGGUAAAGGCCCACCAAGGCGACGAUCCGUAGCUGGUCUGAGAGGAUGAACAGGCACCCUGGAACUGAGGCACGGUCCCGACUCCUACGGGAGGCAGCAGUGGGGAAUAUUGGACAAUGGGCGCAAGCCUGAUCCAACCCUACCGGGUGGGUGAAGAAGGCCUUCGGGUUUUAAAGCCCUUUUGUUGGGAAAGAAAAGCAGCAGGUUAAUACCCCGCUGUUCUGACGGUACCCAAAGAAUAAGCACCGGCUAACUUCGUG
This 492-nucleotide ribosomal RNA is filed under the name uncultured bacterium. RNAcentral's name for it is "partial 16S ribosomal RNA". It matches the Rfam family "Bacterial small subunit ribosomal RNA", at positions 29 to 507 of the family's 1533-position model. The record is from RNAcentral.